UGGGGAAUCUUGCACAAUGGGGGCAACCCUGAUGCAGCGACGCCGCGUGAGCGAUGAAGCCCUUCGGGGCGUAAAGCUCUUUCGACCGGAACGAUAAUGACGGUACCGGGAGAAGAAGCUGCGGCUAACUACGUGCCAGCAGCCGCGGUAAUACGUAGGCAGCAAGCGUUGUUCGGAGUUACUGGGCGUAAAGGGCGCGUAGGCGGUCUGUUAAGUCCGAUGUUAAAUCCCGGGGCUCAACCCCGGAUAAGCGUUGGAUACUGGCAGGCUAGACGGUUGGAGAGGCGAGUGGAAUUACCAGUGUAGCGGUGGAAUGCGUAGAUACUGGUAGGAACACCCAUUGCGAAGGCAGCUCGCUGGACAACACGUGACGCUGAGGCGCGAAAGUGUGGGGAGCAAACC
This 402-nucleotide ribosomal RNA is filed under the name uncultured bacterium. Its description in RNAcentral is "bacterial SSU rRNA". It matches the Rfam family "Bacterial small subunit ribosomal RNA", at positions 355 to 774 of the family's 1533-position model. The record is from RNAcentral.